Molecule: long non-coding RNA, 1067 nt
Organism: Hypomesus transpacificus
Lineage: Eukaryota; Metazoa; Chordata; Actinopteri; Osmeriformes; Osmeridae
Exons: 2
Source: RefSeq, a predicted model, not a curated record
GUAGGGUCUGUACCAUUCCGGUUGGGGCCUUAAUGCAGCGGCCUGCGUUCAAUUCUGGCUCAGGCCAGUCCCUUUUCACUUUCCUACAUUUCCUGUCUACAUCUAACGUCUCUGUCCAAUAAAGCCCCGAAAAAGUCUCAACUAUAACAUAUUUUUUUGGUGGGGUGGGUCCAUGCUUAAAAUCAGACCAACCACAUUUCGAUUGUACAGAGCAAUGUUGGGGCAGGGCUAAUUACAUUUACUGUGACUUCCACCUCCCACAGCAACACUUUCAGCAGCCUGUGUGAAGAUGGGGAGCUGCCUCAAAGUUCUGAUUCUGAUCAUUACGAUAGGUAAACAAGAUGUAAACAUGUGUCCUGGAAUCCUCAGUAUCACUAGAAUGAACGCUAUAAGCUACUCUUUUUGUUUCUAUCAACAAAAAUAAUACUUACUCAAAUACUUUUGUGAUUUGACAAAUGCAGUGGGUCUCCGAGUGUAUACUGCCACGUGAAAGGAGACUGAAUGGCAGUAAUCCAUGUAUCCAUUGCUAAUGGCAGCUCAACAUGGAGGUGAACACAUUUACACAUAUUUGUCGAUAACCACUCAUCCAAAAAACUUCUGUCGUGACUCAGCACAUCUCUGGGUCCUGGGCAAUACACCUGAACUUCAUAUAGAGCCUUGUUCUCUAAAUAAUCAUCCCACAGACAGACACACACACACACAGACGGAAACACAGAGAUUCCUGCCUUCAUCGUUACAGUAGAUGCCACUUAAUUACCAUAUUUAACAAAACUAUUAAAUACAUCAUUUGUGACUAUUCUACUCAUAGUUACACAGAAACAAGUUAAGCAACACUGAGGGGAGGAGCUAGAUUCAGGAAGGAUUUCUUAGACCUAUAUGAACCCUAGCUAUUGUAGUGUCUAAAAGUAUGUCAGUGAAGUUUAGUCUUGUUUGUUGUCAUCCUGUUUCACAAAAGUUGAUCAUGUUUAGUUGUUUCAUUUUUGUCAUUGCUAUGUUUGUAGGAAAUGGUUCGGCUGAAAAUGGAAUUUAUUCAGAUAGUCUUGAGGAAAGGGUGAUGUUUGGUGACA